Molecule: ribosomal RNA, 433 nt
Filed under: uncultured bacterium
Lineage: Bacteria
Description: partial 16S ribosomal RNA
Rfam family: Bacterial small subunit ribosomal RNA
Source: RNAcentral
AACGAACGCUGGCGGCAUGCCUAACACAUGCAAGUCGAACGAGACCUUCGGGUCUAGUGGCGCACGGGUGCGUAACGCGUGGGAACCUGCCCUUAGGUUCGGAAUACCUCCCCGAAAGGGGUGCUAAUACCGGAUAAUGUCUUCGGACCAAAGAUUUAUCGCCUUUGGAUGGGCCCGCGUUGGAUUAGCUAGUUGGUAGGGUAAAAGCCUACCAAGGCGACGAUCCAUAGCUGGUCUGAGAGGAUGAUCAGCCACACUGGGAAUGAGACACGGCCCAGACUGCUACGGGAGGCAGCAGUGGGGAAUAUUGGACAAUGGGCGAAAGCCUGAUCCAGCAAUGCCGGGUGAGAGAUGAAGGCCUUAGGGUUGUAAAGCUCUUUGACACGGGAUGAUAAUGACAGUACCGGGAGAAUAAGCUCCGGCUAACUCCGUG